GGGUUGGUAGCUCAGUGGAUCAGAGACCAUGGUCCCGGACCAUGAAGUCAAGGGUUCGAAUCCCUCCUAGCCCC
RNAcentral lists this transfer RNA (74 nucleotides) under Cycas vespertilio. Its description in RNAcentral is "tRNA-Arg". It matches the Rfam family "tRNA". Rfam says of the family: Transfer RNA (tRNA) molecules are approximately 80 nucleotides in length. Their secondary structure includes four short double-helical elements and three loops (D, anti-codon, and T loops). The record is from RNAcentral. Lineage: Eukaryota; Viridiplantae; Streptophyta; Cycadopsida; Cycadales; Cycadaceae.